This is a long non-coding RNA of Trichechus manatus latirostris (Florida manatee), 1794 nucleotides long. RefSeq lists it as uncharacterized. The record is from RefSeq and is a predicted model, not a curated record. The transcript has 3 exons. NCBI's taxonomy places the organism in Eukaryota, Metazoa, Chordata, Mammalia, Sirenia, Trichechidae.
AAUGCGCUGUCCAGGCUGGCGCUCCAGGAGCCCCGCUGCCUUCUCGGAACGCCAGGCCCGCCUCGCUGCUUCUUCCUUCUCAGACCUCCAGCUUCACCGGGGCUAUGAAAAAAACCUCUCUCAAUUGGGCAGAGCAUCACAGAUCUUUGGAAGAGUACAUCAAGGGCAAGAAUCUACUUGCCAGGCCCUCAGCUUCACCUUCUCGUCUUUGGUCUAGGAUAAAUGUUAACCAUUUGGCUUCAUCUUGAUGAUCAUUUUGAGGACCACAGUACUCACAGGUGAUACUAUUUAUUUCAUGGGCCAAUCUGUCAUUUGAUUGAAAGAUAACCUCUGGGAGUGGUUUGAGUUCCAAGUUUAAAGACUAUCUCAAGGCCAUAGUAACACAACAGUUAUUAUACUUUUUUUUUUUAAGAUUUCUUGAAUUUGUGUUGCUUGCUCAAUAUUUUGUAUUUCUUAAAAUAUUAAGAUAUAUUAGUAUUAAAAUAGUUCUUAGAUGUUUCUUUGUAUUUCUUAAAACAAAAGGACAACACAGAAGCAGGAGACACCUCGUCCUCCUUUAGCCAGUCUUUGAGUAUGAAAACCUUAGAAAGUAGUGCAGCUAGGAAGAACAUGGUGGAACAAGCAAUACACCAGAUUUCCUCCUUUUCUCACUGGUCUGUGUUGGUCCUGUGUAUCAGUUAGGCUCCAGGUAAUGGCAAACCAUAUGAAAAUGGCUUCAAGCACAAUGAGGUUUCUUGCUUUCUUAAAAAAGUCAGAGGUAGGUUCUCAGUGCAACAAUGUCGUUAGGGGUACUGGUUCUUUUUCUCCUUCCAUUCUGCCUUCCUCAGUGUGUGGUUGUAUCUUCCCAGUGGUUGCAAGCUGGUUACUGCAGCUCCAAGCUUCACAUCCUUACAGGACGUGUCUCAUGCAGAAAGGAAGGAGGAAAAAGGACAUUUUUUUCUCACAUGUCUUUCUCUUUUGUCAAGGUAGAAAAAUUUCCACAGAAUUCACCCUUAGUGACAUCUCAUUAGAUAAGACUUAGUCAACAUGACUUAGUCAAAUGAGAAAAAGAAUGGCCGUUAUUGGCUUAGACCAAUCAGACUCAUUCCUUGGGGCAUCUGAACGAAAUCAGAAUUCUGUUAGUGAGGAAGAAGGGGGAGAUGGCGAUUGUGUGAACAACCAACUGUGGUAGUCAUAUGCUUCUUUUGUCUUCUCUUUCUGAUGUCUCUUUUAGGAUUUUACCUACUACAUACCUCCUGGUAUCUUUGAAAUCUAUAUCUAGUUUUAACUUCUCCUGAGUUCUAGACACUUGAUUAUCUGCCUAUUACACAUCCGCACUUGGGUUUUUUCCCAGUAGCUCAAAUUAUGUGUCUAAAAUGAUACUCAUCAUACUUCAUCCUAGAACUGAGAACUGCACAUUUUUACUGAAUAUACUGAGUAAGGACACCACCACCACCCAGUCGUCAGUCCCAGGAAACUGAGGGUCAUCUCGGACUGCUCUUUCUUUAUCUUCCAAAUUUAUUUUCAAGUGCCCUUGAUUUUAACUUUUUACAACUCACCAUAUCUUGUAUCCAUGCUUUCUUCUCUUUUCCAUGUAAAUUGCCUUAAUUCAGGUCCUUAGUAUUUCUUGCCUGAACCUUUGUAACUGUCUUCUAACUGGAUUCCCCGCCAGUCAUUCCUCACAUUAAUUUGUUCUUCGUAAAACCUGUCCUCCAUUGUGAUAUUUGUAAAUAUGAAUGUAAUAAUUUUAUUUCCUGACUUUAAACCCCUCCCCAGUUGACUUAAAGAUAAGCCUAGUCUCUUUAGAGUAGAUUA